RNAcentral lists this ribosomal RNA (1945 nucleotides) under human oral metagenome. RNAcentral's name for it is "bacterial LSU rRNA". It matches the Rfam family "Bacterial large subunit ribosomal RNA", at positions 1103 to 2925 of the family's 2925-position model. The record is from RNAcentral.
GGCUUAGAAGCAGCCAUCCUUGAAAGAGUGCGUAAUAGCUCACUGGUCAAGUGAUUCUGCGCCGAUAAUGUAGCGGGGCUCAAGUACACCGCCGAAGUUGUGGCAAUGAUCUUUUUUGGAUUGUUGGGUAGGGGAGCGUCGUGUAGCCGGUGAAGCUGCGGUGUAAACCAGUGGUGGAGGCUAUGCGAGUGAGAAUGCAGGCAUGAGUAGCGAAAGAUGAGUGAGAAACUCAUCCGCCGGAUGAUCAAGGGUUCCAGGGUCAAGUUAAUCUGCCCUGGGUUAGUCGGGGCCUAAGGCGAGGCCGACAGGCGUAGUCGAUGGAUAACGGGUUGAUAUUCCCGUACCGGUGAAAAACCGCCCAUACUGAUAUUGUGAUGCUAACCAUGCGAAGCAUGAUGUGCAGGCUUUUGUUUGUGUGUUGUGUGGGUUGUGGGACCCGAUCUUUGGAGGUAAACGUAUUAACAGGUGUGACGCAGGAAGGUAGCCAAGCCACGCGAUGGUUGUCGUGGUCUAAGCGUGUAGGGUUGUCGGUUGUUAAAUGCGCCGGCUGUGUGCCUGAGACGUGAUGGGACCCCGUUUUUGGGGGAUUUGGUGAUCCUAUGCUGCCGAGAAAAGCAUCGGCGUGAGGUUUUAGCCGCCCGUACCCUAAACCGACACAGGUGAUCAGGUAGAGAAUACUAAGGCGAUCGAGAGAAUCAUGGUUAAGGAACUCGGCAAAAUGCCCCCGUAACUUCGGGAGAAGGGGGACCUUGAGCGUGAUGGGCACUUGCUGCCUGGAGCGUGUAUGGGUCGCAGAGACCAGGGGGAAGCGACUGUUUAUCAAAAACACAGGUCCGUGCGAAGUCGUAAGACGAUGUAUACGGACUGACUCCUGCCCGGUGCUGGAAGGUUAAGAGGAUUGGUUAGCCCUUUUGGGCGAAGCUGAGAAUUUAAGCCCCAGUAAACGGCGGUGGUAACUAUAACCAUCCUAAGGUAGCGAAAUUCCUUGUCGGGUAAGUUCCGACCUGCACGAAUGGAGUAACGACUUCCCUACUGUCUCAACCAUGAACUCGGCGAAAUUGCAGUACGAGUAAAGAUGCUCGUUUCGCGCAGCAGGACGGAAAGACCCCGUGACCUUUACUAUAGUUUGGUAUUGGUGUUUGGUUUGGCUUGUGUAGGAUAGGUGGGAGACUGUGAAGCAUGGACGCUAGUUUGUGUGGAGUCGUUGUUGAAAUACCACUCUGGUCAAUCUGGAUGUCUAACUUCGGGCCAUGAUCUGGUUCAGGGACAGUGCCUGAUGGGUAGUUUAACUGGGGCGGUUGCCUCCUAAAGUGUAACGGAGGCGCCCAAAGGUUCCCUCAGCCUGGUUGGCAAUCAGGUGUUGAGUGUAAGUGCACAAGGGAGCUUGACUGUGAGACUGGCAGGUCGAGCAGGGACGAAAGUCGGGACUAGUGAUCCGGCGGUACGUUGUGGAACGGCCGUCGCUCAACGGAUAAAAGGUACCUCGGGGAUAACAGGCUGAUCUUGCCCAAGAGUCCAUAUCGACGGCAUGGUUUGGCACCUCGAUGUCGGCUCGUCGCAUCCUGGGGCUGGAGUCGGUCCCAAGGGUUGGGCUGUUCGCCCAUUAAAGCGGUACGCGAGCUGGGUUCAGAACGUCGUGAGACAGUUCGGUCCCUAUCCGCUGCGCGCGUUGGAAAUUUGAGAAAGGCUGUCCUUAGUACGAGAGGACCGGGACGGACGAACCUCUGGUAUGUCAGUUGUACCGCCAGGUGCAUGGCUGAUUGGCUACGUUCGGGAGGGAUAACCGCUGAAAGCAUCUAAGCGGGAAGCCUGUUUCGAGAUGAGAUUUCCUGGCACUUUGGUGUGUGAGGCUCCUUAUAGAUGAUGAGGUUGAUAGGCCGGGUAUGGAAGCGGGGACUGAAGACUCGUGGAGUUGACUGGUACUAAUAGGCCGAAGGCUUACUUU